This 76-nucleotide transfer RNA is filed under the name Actinomycetota bacterium. Its description in RNAcentral is "Actinobacteria bacterium (aquatic metagenome) tRNA-Gly". It matches the Rfam family "tRNA". Rfam says of the family: Transfer RNA (tRNA) molecules are approximately 80 nucleotides in length. Lineage: Bacteria; Bacillati; Actinomycetota. The record is from RNAcentral.
GCGGGCAUAGUUUAGUUGGUAGAACGUCAGCUUCCCAAGCUGAAGGUCACGGGUUCAAGUCCCGUUGCCCGCUCCA